AGCCACCCAUUUAGCCCUCUCUUCUCUUAUUUUGAGAGUGGUUUUCGGCGCAGCUCUCUUCUCUUUCCCAAGUGGUAAUCAAAUCUGUGGCCAUUCCUGAUUCUGUCCCCUGUUGAGCUCUUUAGCUUGUUUCCUUCUCUACUGGGUGGGGCCGUUCCAGGAAGCAUUCCUGCUUCCCACCCACCCCCAGACAAAAUUCAUCAGUCCCUCAAACUGCAGUGUUCGCACCUAUGCUGUAGCUGGUGUCUAAUCCUGCCACUAAAAUCCUUCUCUCGGAUUACUGAGAACUCAGUGAUUCCCUUCGAGGAGCUCUUCUUGGUCUGCAUUUUCUCCAACCUCCAGCAUCUAGAGAACACUCCCUACUCCUUGAAAUGUCUUUCACAGCUUCUGGAGAACUUGCCUCUUCUGGUCUCCUGUUCUGUCUUCAUCCAACUUCUACCUGGAAAUUCUGCCAGGCUGCUCGUCUCUUGCUACUGCUCUGUGCCUUCAGUGUUUCUUCAGAGAAUGAAUCCCUUCAAGGAGUGGAACUCAGGAACCCCCAGAUUUGUAUUUCCAGUCCACCUGAGUUCCUGUCCAGGAUAUCCUUCCCCUCCAGAAAAGUUCUCAUAUAUUUAUUACUGAACCAACCUACUCAUGCAGAAGCAUAGAAACAAAGAGAAAAAAAUAUAUUUUCCUAACAAAACAUAUCCA
This 690-nucleotide long non-coding RNA is filed under the name Mustela putorius furo (domestic ferret). RNAcentral describes it as "lncRNA (ENSMPUG00000027113.1)". Lineage: Eukaryota; Metazoa; Chordata; Mammalia; Carnivora; Mustelidae. The record is from RNAcentral.